RNAcentral lists this ribosomal RNA (496 nucleotides) under uncultured bacterium. RNAcentral's name for it is "partial 16S ribosomal RNA". It matches the Rfam family "Bacterial small subunit ribosomal RNA", at positions 28 to 523 of the family's 1533-position model. The record is from RNAcentral.
GAUGAACGCUGGCGGCAUGCCUAAUACAUGCAAGUCGAGGGGUAUAAGGAGCUUGCUUCUUUGAGACCGGCGCACGGGUGCGUAACGCGUAUGCAACCUACCUUAAUCAGGGGGAUAGCCCGGAGAAAUUCGGAUUAACACCGCAUAAAAUCACAGUAUUGCAUAAUACAAUGAUCAAAUAUUUAUAGGAUUAAGAUGGGCAUGCGUGUCAUUAGCUAGUUGGUAAGGUAACGGCUUACCGAGGCGACGAUGACUAGGGGAUCUGAGAGGAUUACCCCCCACACUGGUACUGAGACACGGACCAGACUCCUACGGGAGGCAGCAGUAAGGAAUAUUGGUCAAUGGACGCAAGUCUGAACCAGCCAUGCCGCGUGCAGGAUGACUGCCCUAUGGGUUGUAAACUGCUUUUAUAUAGGAAUAAAUGUACUUACGUGUAAGUAUUUGAAUGUACUAUAGGAAUAAGGAUCGGCUAACUCCGUGCCAGCCGCCGCCGUAA